This 416-nucleotide unclassified non-coding RNA is filed under the name Ficus segoviae. RNAcentral describes it as "partial contains external transcribed spacer and 18S ribosomal RNA". The stretch from base 370 to 416 matches the Rfam family "Eukaryotic small subunit ribosomal RNA", at positions 1 to 47 of the family's 1831-position model. Lineage: Eukaryota; Viridiplantae; Streptophyta; Magnoliopsida; Rosales; Moraceae. The record is from RNAcentral.
AACAACUGUCGACCCCUCAUCCGUUUCAUUUUUUCCCCAGGAUCGAGCUUGCUCUUCUUGGGCACGACCCUAGGUUCCUUUGUUGCCUUCCCAUCGUAUGGAAAAAUUCGUCAGAUAGCCACGACCCUUUCCUCUUUGUGGCUUUGCGGCUGUAAUGCGGACCUCGAAAGCAGUCCCCGUGUCCCCGACAUAUCCUCUGACUUCGGUCGUGGCUGUCUUGGAUGUGGAAAAUUAAGCGGACAUGGGGGGGCUUGGCCUCCAGUUGCUCCACAAUCAAGUCCCGCAAUAAGAAUGACUUUCGUUACCUCAUUGACCGCAGGUUGUCCAGGCCCGUGGCAUCAAUGCGGGUCCGUAGUCGAGAAAGAAUGCUACCUGGUUGAUCCUGCCAGUAGUCAUAUGCUUGUCUCAAAGAUUAA